GAGGUUUGGGAACCAGUUGAGAGGUCAAAAAUUUGGGGUCUGGAAAAGGGGAUUUUGGGUUCGAAAAUUGGGGUUGGAAAUUUUGGAUUCAGAAAAAAUGAAGGAAGAAAGAAAAAAGGGAAUAUUUUUCUUUCUGGUUCGAAAAAACUGAGAGAGAAGGAAGAAGGAAAAGAAAGAAAUUUUCGGAGAAAAAUUAAGUCUUUAGUAGAAAUCCUUUUCUUGUUUUGAAAGUCCGUCAGCUAAAUUAGAGUCUUGUGUUGACGGUAAAGAAGUUUCCGGUGGUCGUGAUCUCCGUAUCAUCUCGGCAUCCCGUUUUGCUGCCCCUAAAUAGGUAAUAUCCUAUCCCUUUCAAUUUUCAGUAUUUUCUUCUUCUCGUUGAUUUCUUAGUGUGUUAGCUGUAUCUUCAUUAUCGUUGUAGAAAUUCUAGAUAUUAUUUGCUGGGAAUUAUUGCUGUUGAGGCUAUGAAAAGUCAUAGGUUUUUGAGAUAAAGGCAUCUAUGUUUACCGUUGUUUCUGUUCCAUAGCUUAGCUUUUUCCUUUCGCAAAAAUUUGUUACAAGAUUGUGGAUGGUCGUUAGUCUUCAUGUCUGAAUAUUACUGCAAUUAGGCAUUGCCUUUGCUCUAAUCAAAUGCCUUCUUGUGUUGUCCAUUCCCAUCCAUUUUAGUUUAAGUAUUGUUCCUGUCUUAAGCUGCGCAAAUUAUUUUGAUCUAAGUUUGGUUUAUUAUAAAGCUCAGAUUUUUUUUUCAUCUAAGAAUUCUUGACUUCACGGAUUUGCUGUUUUAGCUUUAAUUGUUACCCGAUUCAAUUUAACUAAGGUUUUAGGUUAUGUCGUUCAUUGCCAUGUUAUGUUUCUUUUUCUGAAAUUUGUCUUCUGGUUCGCUGUUUGGAUAUGGUUUCACUGUUUUACCUUGAAUUGUUGAUCAAUAUAACUUGACCAAGACUUUAGGUCCUUUAGUUCAUUGUCAAGCUACGCCUCUUUCCGUCAUCUUCUUUCUAAUUCAUUAUUUUGGUAUAAAUAAUCUUUUUGAGUCUGUUGAUACUUUAUUUCUCCUGUGUAAAGCUUCAAACUAUAAGUCUUGAUUAAUAUUUUAUUAGGUAAAAUUUUGAAGUGCAGAUUUCUGUCUCAAUUUUCUAUAUGGUUAAAUUGAUAUGUUAUCCCCCUUCAAAUUCUAGUUUAAUGUUUCUUUCCUCCACCGGUUGUUUCCCUAAUGAUUGUGAUAUGUGAUUAUUGAAUCUCAGUUGCGGCUUCCAUCUUAAUAGUGGCUGCUAGCAUCAAUUUAACUGUUUCCUUUCGCUCGUGUUAGUCUAAACUGUUUUAUCUUUAGUUCUUUAUUUUGACCCCUUUGUCUGUUGCUUUGUAUUGGCUUAGUCAUACUGUUGUUGAGAACACUGUUUCAGCCUAACUUACCUAUUCGUAGUAUUGUUAAUUAUUCCAACCUAAUCUUUUAAAACUAGUAGUUUGGUUACUUAAAUGAAUCUCAUCCGUUAUUUCUCUAGUUCAUAAGGAACAAAGACUAUCGAAUCUUGUUUGAGAAGUAGUAACCCAUCUAAAGUUGAAUGUUGCCUUUUAUGUUGUGCUUAUGCUUGGUAUCUCAUUUCUCUUAUUUGCUUAAUUAGAAGUUUAGUAUGAUGGCUAGAAGAGUCCAAUAUUAAUUCAAUAUACUGAGUCCUUUUCUUGAUAACAUACCACCAAGAACUUUGCUAACAAGUGGACUGAUGGUCACUUUGGAUGGUGAUUGAGUGAUUCUUUCCUUAUAAACCCCAUGGUCAACGUAUGUGGUUGCUUAUAUACAUUAAGUUUCUAGGAUGUUUCAAUUAGAUUGAAAUGUGUACAUUGUAUCUUCGCAUGUCCAAAUAAUUAUUUCAAGUCAACUAGAAAGAGGUUACAUGUUUUGUCUUCAGGUUCUUUAAUCUACCCCUUUGCUAUGUUUGAGAAAUAUUUGGACUAGCUGAAAUGUAAGAUUCAUUUGCAUAUAAUGCUUCUUUGCUUCUUUAAAAAAUAAAAUCCGCAUUAGUUCCCUUUUAAUUUUUCCUCUCCUUGAUUGAUCAUAUGCUAGUAGGCUUCCUUCACUUUAUUUUACUUUCUUCCCCCCUUCUUUCUUUGCUUGAUUAUAUACUAAUGUUUUUUAUUUUCCCUCAUUUGCAUGGAAAUCAUUUGAGUCCUACAUGGACUCUUCCCUUUGUGCAUAUUCAUCAUGGGCCACUGAGGCCUUCUAUGUCUAUUGAGUCAAGCCCGAAAGAGAAUCCAUCGUAGUGCAUGGAUAUGAGGAGAUCAAAGAAGAAGAAGGGGUUGAAAGCCCACAUUUGAAGCGGCUAAGAGACAAAAGCCUCAUCUGUUAUUUUAUUUUAGUUAAUUAUUGUUGUCCUUGUUUCCUUUGCGAACCUAGUUAAAUCCCUAACUAAGUCGCUAAAAAAUUGAUUUUUCCAAAAACUUUUCCCUAAUUAACUACUUUUUCCAACAAAUCAAUUUUCUUAGUUAGUCAAAAGAAUUAUUUUUAAACAGAUCGGAUAACCGCAAGUUAGCGGACAUUUUAGGUUCCUAACACCUUCCUAAAACGUUAAUAGGAACUGCUUACUCAGAAUCUUCAAACUUAAAUGAUUUUCCUGUUUUGAAUCGUCUAAGUACUUUUAAAAGGUUUCUUAAUUUCUUUUCAAAAUUAAGUGGGGACUCUCUUCAAAAUUUCCGCAAAACAGAAAUGGCGACUCUGCUGGGGAUUUUUAACUAGGUUCUAACCAAAUGUUUGAUUUCGUCUUUUGAUUAACUGUUUAUAUAUUUAUAUGUUUCGAUUCUAUAAAGUUUAACUAUCACACUUAUGGAAUAUUCCUGCAUUAUUUAAACUGUUUUGGGGUUUCGUGGAUGUCCCGGCCCCUAUUGUUUAAUUCCAAUAAUGUGUUGGAAAUAUGAACGACUUAUUAGCACGUAAGUCGUCUGAUGGUUGUUCGUAUUUACAAACUCAAGCUGUCUACUUGAUAACCAUUGUUCAAACCCACUCUAGAUCCUAGGAUAGAACGAAAUCAAAACCCUAUUUUAGGCAUGAGCCUAGGACGACCUAAUACCCGAGCGGGGUAUUGGGCCCAUUAGAAAACUUGCCUUGCAUCUAUUGACCCCGAGUCAAUUAUAGACGAAUCAUAUUUAUGUGUUGAAGAAAUAUAUAUUUGUUUAAUCCAAUCCAUUAUCCUUUGGGGGGACGGGAGAAAACUUGCUUUACUUUCGUAUAAGGAUACCUCAAUUGUACACCAAUUGACGAAGGAAUCGAAACAAGUCAAGCAAGAAAUUGAUCGAUUUGGACAGAUGCAUGGCAUCUAUGGCACAGUUAUACGGCAACCACUUGGUCAUUAAUGGAUGUCGCCAAUAAUGAGGAGUGGACAAAGCUGAGAGGGCGAAGGCUGAUAGAAGAAGCAUUCAGGAAUUAGUAUUUUUCUAUCCCCUGUGUGGGACAUCAUUCCUGUUCUCAUGUUAUUUUUGUUUCCCCAGAGGUUGUAUCCCCUUUGUGCGACUUUUGUAGGAAUUUAUGUCGUUUGUGUAUAUUGGAGGAUAAUGGAUUGGCUUUAAAAAGGGCAUAUAUUUUCUUCAAAGUUUGUCAGGCCUAAACCCUUGGCUCAAAAGGGUCACCCCAGUUAGGAUACAACAACAACAACAACAAACCCAGUAUAUUCCCACAUAGUAGGGUCUGGGAAGGGUAGAGUGUACGUAGUCCAUACCACUACCUCUAAAGAAGCCGAGAGGCUGUUUUCGAUAGACCUUCGACUUAAGUCAAAAGAUAGUAUGAAAGAG
This 3774-nucleotide long non-coding RNA is filed under the name Capsicum annuum. Its description in RNAcentral is "long non-coding RNA (CANN_LNC018810)". Lineage: Eukaryota; Viridiplantae; Streptophyta; Magnoliopsida; Solanales; Solanaceae. The record is from RNAcentral.